GUUUUCGGAUAAUUGCAGCUUAGGUAACUAGGUUGAGGAAAGUCCAUGCUCGCACAAGCUGAGAUGCUUGUAGUGUUCGUGCUUAGUGAAACCAUAAGCUAAGGUAUUCGCAAGAAUAACGGCAGCCAAAACAGCUAAGGUCCUCGGACUAUGCUGGAGUAAGCUUGAAAGUGCCACAGUGACGAAGCAAUUUUAGAAAUGAAAUUGGUGGAACGCGGUAAACCCCUCGAGCGAGCAACCCAAACUACGGUCGGGGCACUUUUUUCAAGGAAAUGAACGAAGAAAAGAGACAGAUUUAUCUGUAGACAGAUGAUUAUCGUUGCCAGUUUUUACCUGAGAACUGGCAAUACAGAACAUGGCUUAUAGAA
This 368-nucleotide RNase P RNA is filed under the name Vagococcus allomyrinae. RNAcentral describes it as "Bacterial RNase P class B". It matches the Rfam family "Bacterial RNase P class B". Rfam says of the family: Ribonuclease P (RNase P) is a ubiquitous endoribonuclease, found in archaea, bacteria and eukarya as well as chloroplasts and mitochondria. Its best characterised activity is the generation of mature 5'-ends of tRNAs by cleaving the 5'-leader elements of precursor-tRNAs. Cellular RNase Ps are ribonucleoproteins. The record is from Rfam by way of RNAcentral. Lineage: Bacteria; Bacillati; Bacillota; Bacilli; Lactobacillales; Enterococcaceae.